Molecule: ribosomal RNA, 449 nt
Filed under: uncultured bacterium
Lineage: Bacteria
Description: bacterial SSU rRNA
Rfam family: Bacterial small subunit ribosomal RNA
Source: RNAcentral
GGGCCCGCACAAGCAGCGGAGCGUGUGGUUUAAUUCGACGCAACGCGCAGAACCUUACCAGGGCUUGACAUGCAGGCAAAAGCCGGGGAGACUCGGUGUCCCUUCGGGGGGCCUGCACAGAUGCUGCAUGGCUGUCGUCAGCUCGUGCCGUGAGGUGUUGGGUUAAGUCCCGCAACGAGCGCAACCCUCGUCGCUAGUUGAAUGUCUAGCGAGACUGCCGAGACUAACUCGGAGGAAGGUGGGGAUGACGUCAAGUCAGCACGGCUCUUACGUCCUGGGCUACACACACGCUACAAUGGUCGGUACAACGGGCAGCGACUGGGCGACCACGAGCCAAUCCCAGCAAAGCCGACCUCAGUUCAGAUCGGAGUCUGAAACUCGACUCCGUGAAGGCGGAGUUGCUAGUAACCGCAGGUCAGCACACUGCGGUGAAUACGUUCCCGGGCCUU